UUUUUUUUUUUGAAGUGUAUUUGAAAAAGUCCGCUUAUACUUGAAAAAUGAAGACAAAAAUAGAUAACACCACUUGCCUGGUCAGGCAAAACCCAUCACCAACUCAGGCUUAUAUCAGGCGGCACUUUUUCUCAGGCACAUUUGUUUUUUGAGGUAAUUUUCUCAGGCACAUAGUCAGGGUAGGAACCAAACAGGCGUGUAGACUCGCGAUAUUUUGCUGCCCAGUAACUUUCCUGCACUUGCUCCGGGCCACAACCGGGUUUUUUCGCCUCUGUUGACCACAUUGCCUUUCUUUCUUUUCUUCUCGAAAAAAUAAACUUAGUUCACAUUUCCAUGGCUCAUCCAUCCAUCCCGCCACGUUCUCGUCGUCGCCUCAAAAGCUGUCCCCGAUCUCACGCGCUAACCCUAAACAAAAGAAAACAAAACCGCCACGCCGACGCCGACAGACGCCCACGUCCGUAGAGGCACGCACAUCGCCUCUGUCGUCUCCCUCCUCUCCGGCCGGCUCCCGGCCCAUUUAUACCGCCUCGCCGGCCAUUCUCACAAGUCGUAGCACUCGCACCACAUUCGACCAGGCACGCCAACGACGACUUUGCAAUGCCGAGGACGCGGGCGAUGUGCUGCCUCAUGCCGUCGAAGCCCUCCGGCGAUGCGCGCCGCCGCAGCAGCGCGGCGUGCAUUUGCUGCAUCGGCCCCCACCACCGCCCGUCCGGGGGCGGCGCCCUCGCCCCCGUCGACGCGGACAACAGCAGCGUGCGGACGCCGCUCACCAGCUGCUGCGGCGCCGGGGACGCCGUCCGCACGCCGCGCACCCCCAAGACGCCCUCCGCCAGGCGCCUCUGCGGCGUCCGCUCCCGCACCCCGCGCCGCGCGCAGCAGGUCCGCCGCUUCACUCCGGCACCAGCGCCGGCGCCCGCGGCACCUGCUGCUCCAGCGCGAGCGGCGGCGCCGGCUGCUCCCGCGAGGACUCCUGUGGCAGCUGCUGCAUCGGCUGGAGCGGCGCUGGCUGUUCCUCCGGUGAAGACUCCCGUAUCAGCUGCUGCGUCAGCUGGAGUGCCGCUGGUUGCUCCUCCUCCUGCGAGGACUCCCGUGGCAGCUGCUCCGUCGGCUGGAGCGGCGCUGGUUGCUCCUCCUCCUGCGAGGACUCCCGUGGCAGCUGCUGCUGCUUCGGCUGGAGCGGCGCUGGCUCCUCCUCCUGCGAGGACGCCGCGAACGCCUUCGACGCCGAUCGGGCGGACCCAGCGCGUGUGCUGCGUGACCACCGCGGCGCCAGCGCAGGCCGGCAACGCGAAGUCCAAGUCGGGCACCGCGCGGCGCCGCUGGCUCAGCUCCGCCAGCAAGGCGGUGGCGCAGACGCGCGGCGCGGUCUCCGGCAACGUUCGCGACAGCGGCACCAACCCGCGUGCCAACGGCCACGUCGCCAAGGCGGUCCACAGGGCGGCGCCGCUCGCGCAGGCCGUGGAGCCGCCAGCGCCGGCGAAGGAGGACGAGUCGGUCUGCUCCGACGAGGAGUACGCGAUGCUGUGCCGGGAGGGCUUCUCACGGGAGGACGUCGCCGCCGUCACCAUCCAGGCCUACUUCCGCGCGCACCUGGUGCGUGCUCACCAUGCUGGCCGCCAUGCCAGAUCGUUACUUCCACGCCUGAUUGAUUUGCAUGUCUAAAUCUAAACUGCGUUUUGGUUUUGCAGGCGCGGCGGGCGUUCAAGGCGCUGAGGAGCCUGGUGAGGCUGCAGGCGGUGGCGCGGGGCGCGUACGUGCGGCGGCAGGCGGAGGUGGCGGUGCACUGCAUGCAGGCCAUGGCGCGGCUGCAGGCGCGCGUGCGCUCCAGGCAGGCGCUCGCCAAGCCCAAGGACAACGACGACAAGCUCCUGCUGCUGCAGAACUGAUCGAUCAACAUGCAGCACAAAAUAAAUCUGGAAACUGAUCUGGGCUUCUCGAGCGAGGCAAGUUUAAAUUGGUUCGCAUGAUGAGUUGUUCAAACCUGCCUGGGUUUGUACAUCUGCGAUUGUUUUCAAUUUCAUGGUCUCCUUAUUUAUGUCGUUUUUGGGGAGUGUCUUCACCACUGGAAUAUGUAACUCCUGCAUUUUCAAACAUACCGUGGGUGUUUUCAGUUUUGCCAAUACUCGGUCAGUCCGAAAUUAUCGGUCGCCUCUACCCUUGCAACGCAGACCCUCAUAAACGUGUACAUAUAUUCACCCUUAUGAACACAUGAACGGACACCCUACUCUAUUUACAUCUUCGAAAAACUAAACCGGCACAUCAUUUUAAGAUUGACAAAGUGACCACAGGCUCUUCCGUAGUCAACGGGAAUGUCUCCUCUCACGGAACGCACAUCGCCUGAAGGCCUAAAAUAAAUUCAUGAAAAUGCAAUCACCAAUGUCUAAGUUUAGGACUUGAACCCCCGUGGAUUGAUUCCACCACAAGAAAACUAACCAUCUGAACUACUUCAGUUCGCUCCACUUGGUGAUGUUGACCAUGGCAAACUUACUAAAACGGUGUUUUAUCAGUAUAGAAGCGUACUCGGCAUUCAUUUGGUAGAAACUUAAUCUUGUAAGUCUAUAUUGAUGUUUGAUUAGUAUAGAAGCAUACUCAGCAUUCAUUUGGUAACCUUUAAUGAGGCAAGCAUACUUCGAAUGGCCGCCAGAAAAGAUGAUAGACAUUUAAUUAUAAGUCCAUAUUGAUGUUUUUUUUAGGAUCAGUCCAUAUUGAUGUUUGAUCGGUGGUUUGUUGGACUAACAACCAAAAAAAACUCUCCCACGAGGCUCAUAAAACAAAGGGAGUGAACGUCACUUUAAAACCAAGGGAGUGAAUGUCACCUUGACUCUGCUUUUGCGGAAACAUAUAAUACAAGCAAGUUUGGACUCACAACUCUUAGAUGUACUAGUAGGUACGGUUCAUCAAUUUCCCACAUUCAAAAUAGUAAUAAUCCUUACAACCUUCCCAUCACAUGAGUACGGUUAGUCGACUCACAAAAAAAGGCAUGUCAAUCCUCAAUAUGUAUUUCAAAGAGAGAAAUUAUUAUUUAUAUUUUUGCUUACUAAAUUGGAAAAAACAUAAGUAAGGAUACACGCAUUGAAACAAUACACCACGACUUUCAUGGUAGCACAUAACCAACUAAGGACGGUGUUUGGACCUUAAUACUAAAUGAAGUAAAUAACAUAUACAUGGAACAAAUGGACUUGUUAUGCUAUUCCCUUUUUUUACUUCUUCAGCCAAAACGUCAUCUCCUUUGUGAACUUCUCCAUUGCUGGUUUUGGUAGUAGGAUUGAUACCACGGUUGAGUCUUCACCAUCUUUAUUCUUACACUUGGUAUGAUAGCUUAUCAGCUUUGAAGUGAAAUCUCCAGCAUGCGGUGUGCCAGCGGCAACCAACUCGGCUUUCCCAAAUUGCAGUGCAUUGCCUCCAACCCACUUUGUGUCACUAACCUCAUAUGUUCUAUCCAUACCAAAAGGUGACCGCUCUCGCCAUAAUGCCAUCAAAUCCACCAUUGACUUCAUGCGAUCCUUUGUGGUGUCCAACUUGACUUGACGCAUGAGCUCAAGUAUAUGUCCAAGCGGCUUUGCAGCCAACUCCUCGACAGUGACCUCGACCAUAGGAGAGAAAUGUGCAUUUCCAUAGUAACCACGUGGGACGGCGCUUUCACCAUUAAUGCUUCUCCCACGUGUGUUUAAUGUAAACAUGACACGGACUUUUUGAGUAGAUUCAUAGCCCAGUGCCAAUGUGCGGCACCGCCACAUGACAGCCGUAAUCAACUCAAAUGUUGUAGUAGAUUUAGAGAGGUGUUCUGGGACGUGGCUUCUCAACAUUUCUAUCUCAUUUGGCCCAAAGAAUAAAUAUUGCACUUCCAUGCAUUCUGGCGGAGUUGAUAGCAUCACGUCGUCUCCUGUGCACUCUAACCCAUGAAGAAAUGGCUUAUAUGCCGGGUAAACAUGUGCAAUUGAUGGUGGCAUGCGUGCUGUGAAGAUAUCUCUUUUCCACACAGGCAAAGUUGUUGGGAUAAGUUCACCACAUCCAAAAUCGGCUAUAGUUUUGAUAAAUUGAAGAAUACCAAAACCAUCAGCAAUGCAAUGACACAUGUGAAGCCCAAUAACAAAUCCUCCACAUUUUAGUUGUGUCACCUGCACAACAAACAUGUGCUUAGCAAAAAUACAUGGAAUUCAAACAAGCAAUGAAAAUAAUUAAUAUGACCACGUAUGCAUGGCUAUGCGUCAUUCACCCUCCCUUUCUAUAUUGAUACACUUUUUACGGUAAUCAUAUUAAUACACUUUUUCUCAGUUGUAUUUGAUGGCAUCGUAUUCAAGCAUCAACACAAACUUAAUAAAACUAGUGAUAAGUAAUAAUACAACAAGAAUGAAUGUUUGUAGUACGUUAAAUAAUUUUCGAUUUUAAUUCACUUUAUUAUGAAAGAAAACAUCGAACCGACAAAUGGAAUUUGGUAAAAUUUGAUGGACAAAACUUUACUGAUAUAACAACUCUUUUUUCGCCAAGAAAGUUGGACGCUAACAAUUUCAUUAUGUGAUGCAACCCUCUUUUCUACUUUCAUUUUUUAUUUUUGCUAGAAUAUUGAUAUUAACCCCGCAAAAAAUAGAAGAAUUUCGAUAUUGAUAAGGUGCUCAUACCAUCAUUCAUGGUAAUAAAUACACUAUAUGUAUAUAUGUAGAAAUUCAACAUACUACCACCCAUAAUAAGCCACAUAACGAAAUAGAACUAACUAAGAAACACUAUAUUACCCCGCAAAAAAAACACUAUAUUACCUGCAGGAAGAGCAAAGGCUUGCCAAGUACAUCCCUGGUGUCGCCGCAGUCUCCGAGGAACUCCUCAACGCACGGGUACGGCGGCACCAGCGGCUGGCCGAGGUCCUGGAGCCGCACGUCGGCGGAGGCCUCCACGAAGGCCACCCCCUCCCCCGUGCAGUCCACCGCCAGCCUGUUCCCGCCGGGGAGCUUCCGCAGGCGGCCGGCCAUUGGGUAGUAGUACACGAGCGCCGCGGCCACGGCCGCCUUGAUGCCCCUGGCCACCUUGCCCGGCCUGGGCGCCUCGCCCGGCGGGGCCCGGAAGAAGCCGACGAUGGACUCGUAGAACCGCAGCGUCCACUGGUCGUCGAGGUCGGAGAGCGCCUUGGUUUCCGUUGGCGUCGGCCUCGCCGGGCGCACCAGCUCCGGCUCGCCCCGGCGCGCCGUGAAUGUCACCAUGGUGGUAGGAGGUUCGAUCGUGUGUGCUUGUGCGUGUGAGAGUGGUGUGGGCUGUGGAGGCGGUGGGAUCGAUGGCUUGCUUGCUUGCUCGUUGUGGUGGUUUGCGGUGAGCUGUGUACGUAGGUUCAUAUAUAGGCGUGGCGAUGGCGACUGGUUCAAGGAUGGCAUGCAUGCACGUAUGCAUGGAUGGUGACGGACGGAGGAGCUGGUCAGUGCCGUAACUCUUUGAACGGGCUAGGGCUAGUACGUACUGCGUCGUCAGUUCAACUUUGAUCUGCGCCUCUGGACUGGAGAAUCAACACACUCGUGCCGGCGCGGCGAGACCUGCACUGCGUACUGGAGUGGAGUAGUAGUAGUCGACAAGACAAACCGUCAACUUUGAUCCGUUCGCUGUGUCACUGUGUGUCCCCUAGCAGUAGCAGCUCGUCGCACCAGGCGCGCGGUCUCCCUUGGCUGUCUCUCUCUUGCCGUGGGUGACGGGUGGCGGGUGACGACGGCACGAGCGAACCAGCUGGCCAUAGCCCGGCGCUAGGCAGGGUUUCGGGCCGCACCUUGCAAACGGCUUGACUUGAAAACGUAAGCCGAGGCUUGCCUCAGCCACCGAACAAAACUACUAGUAGUAUUUUGUAGUUUGCCCAAAAAAACUUAUUUUGUAGUGAAAUUAUUAAAUACUCCCUCCAUUCCAAAAUAGAUGACCCAACUUUGAACUAACUUUAGUACAAAGUUGGGUCAUCUAUUUUGAAACGAAGGAAGUAUGUAUUAAAAAUAUUGAAUAAGUCUUUUUGCGAGGAAAAAAUAUUAUAAUGUCUUAAAUAAGUUGAUUUCAAGAUAUAAAUGUACGACAUUUUUCUUCUGCAAAAAAUGUCAAAAUCAUUUAUUUCGUGUUUGAGACUAAGCUUCGGAUGGAAAAGUGAUGCCCGAUCACAAGAGUUGGGUCAUCUCGUGGAAAGUGGAAAUUCAAGCACAUGACCUCACGUGCAUGCAGCGGCGGCGCCAGGAAUUAGGCAAGCCCCAGGCCGACCCAGGCAGCCUUCGUUCAUUGUAGCUUACUGUAGCAUUAUACGUACAAUACUCGCUACUGUCAAUGAAGCAAACAAGCAUCACGCCCCAGGCAGCCGCCAUGGCACGGCAAGUUAAGGGUUUUGUCGAGUACUGCUACUCCAGUAUGCAGGACUCGCCGCCCCGGCACGAGAGGUGCAGACCAAAGUGGAACUGCACAAGCAAAUAAACUGCAUUGUACUCCCUUCAUUCCAAAGUAGUGUUUCAUUUAUUUCCGUGCUUCAACUUUAACCAUAAAUUUAACUAAUGAGACCGACUGCGGUGGGAGCAAAAAUUAUACCAGUGAAUUCGUAUUCAAAAUAAGUUUUCAAUUAUAUAAUUUUUUUCUCCCGCCGCAGUCGGUCUCGUUGAUUAAAUUUAUGGUCAAAGUUAGACAUCAGAAAGCACGGGCGCACUAUAUUUUGGAAUUGAGGGAGUACAAUACCCAUCCAACAUGUAGAAGGUGAAAUCACGUUUCUCGGUCUUGUGAGUUGUCCUAAGGCUUGUGCUCUUCGUUUGGCGUUGAGAGAUACUGAAAUAUCCCUGAUGAAGAGUUUUUCAAGUUCUAAAGACCGGACUGGUUAUUGGUUUUGUUGGAUCAUUUGAGCUUGCAGCGAAGAGAGAAAAUCUUGUUUCUCUCCUGACGAGCCUGGCAUUUUAGAAAUGACUUAAUUUUUUUUUUUGGGAAGGGGGAGGAAUCCAUUACUUGCUCUGUAAAUUUUGUGGACAACUAUUGGUCCUCAUUCACGUCCUGUCACAAUACUAUGCAGUUCGAGUCUACUAACAAAGGUAAGGAAAGGGUGGGAGGUGUUAUGGCAGAUUNNNNNNNNNNNNNNNNNNNNNNNNNNNNNNNNNNNNNNNNNNNNNNNNNNNNNNNNNNNNNNNNNNNNNNNNNNNNNNNNNNNNNNNNNNNNNNNNNNNNNNNNNNNNNNNNNNNNNNNNNNNNNNNNNNNNNNNNNNNNNNNNNNNNNNNNNNNNNNNNNNNNNNNNNNNNNNNNNNNNNNNNNNNNNNNNNNNNNNNNNNNNNNNNNNNNNNNNNNNNNNNNNNNNNNNNNNNNNNNNNNNNNNNNNNNNNNNNNNNNNNNNNNNNNNNNNNNNNNNNNNNNNNNNNNNNNNNNNNNNNNNNNNNNNNNNNNNNNNNNNNNNNNNNNNNNNNNNNNNNNNNNNNNNNNNNNNNNNNNNNNNNNNNNNNNNNNNNNNNNNNNNNNNNNNNNNNNNNNNNNNNNNNNNNNNNNNNNNNNNNNNNNNNNNNNNNNNNNNNNNNNNNNNNNNNNNNNNNNNNNNNNNNNNNNNNNNNNNNNNNNNNNNNNNNNNNNNNNNNNNNNNNNNNNNNNNNNNNNNNNNNNNNNNNNNNNNNNNNNNNNNNNNNNNNNNNNNNNNNNNNNNNNNNNNNNNNNNNNNNNNNNNNNNNNNNNNNNNNNNNNNNNNNNNNNNNNNNNNNNNNNNNNNNNNNNNNNNNNNNNNNNNNNNNNNNNNNNNNNNNNNNNNNCGAGUAUGUGUUGACAUUAGAAGGUGAAUAGUGACACGUCAGUCAUGUGGGCUCGGCUACACAAAAGUCAUUCCCUUUUCCCAUCCACUAUGUCGUGUGCAAAACAACUAUACCGACAGAAAAUAUAGUGGUUUUAUUUGCUUGUGCAAUAUUAAUUUGUCGAUAUCUUUUGAAUAAAAACUUCAUUUAAUUAUUAUUUUUUAAAAUUGAGUUCAAGAUGACGAGAUCUAUAAAAACAAUAUUAAUUUUGAAUAUAUUUUAAACAUGUCUAAAUUUCAUGAAACAUAUUUCACACAUUGCUAAAAAACUAAUUUCACUAGUUUAUUUCACUCAUUUAAAAAUAAACAGAUGUUGCUCCUUUCAAAAAUCUGAUUUUACUCAGUUCAAAAUGAUAAUUUCACUCAUUUCAAAUAACAGAUAUCACUGAUUUCAAAAUACCGAUUUUACACAAUUCAAAAUUGUAUUACACUCAUUUUAAAAUACCGAUUUCACUCAAUUAAAAAAUCACUCAUUUUUAAACAAUGGUUUCACUGAUUUUAGAAAACUGAUUUCAUCAUUUCAAAAACAUUUUACACUCAUUUCAAAACAAUGUUUUAAAUCCAAAAAAUAUUUUCGCUCAUUAAAAAGAACUUAUUCAACCAUUUUAAAAAUAAUUUCACUCAUUAAAAAAACUAAUUUCAAACACUAAAAAUAGAUUGAGUGAAAAAUGGAAUGAAACGUUCAAAUUUUAACGUGUUUGAAAAGCAUUUAAGAUUGAUCUUGUUCUGGAGGUCUUGGUGCAGGAGUUCAAAUGUGCAGGAAGUUUUAAAAACAUAAUUUUGGUUUUGAAGAUAUGAAUCAUCUAAAAUGUAAGAAAUAAAUUAAAUUGAUAGAUUUUGAGAGGGGAGAGGAGAUGUAACGUGAGAGGAGCUUUGUUAUAUCUAAGUGGGUAUAACUCACCGAAUGGGUCGUGGCCUGCCCAGAUAUUUUUUCGGCCAUAGAACACAAGCCCGUUAAAUAUUUCUGUCUGCUAGCCCACCUAGCUAUUUGUGGCGGAGUACAGCAAGGCCGAAUGGGUCGUAGCUCGCCCAGAUCAUGAGAUUUUAUCUAAUGUAUACCUAUUUUGGGCCGCCCAGGUUAUUCUCUAAUGUAUAACCUAUUUUGGGCCAUAGAAUACAAGCCUAGUACUUAUUUCUGUACGCCGGUCGGCCCAGCUAUUUGAGUUCCGCCACUCGAGCAGAGAUGGUGGUGAACUGUUCACUAGAGGGCUGUGGCGCCACGAUCAACCGAAAUCACUAAUUGAGGAGUAUUCCUUACAAAGAUCACUCCCGCCUCGUCGGGUUGUGACAAGUGGCAUGCUGCAUGUGCGUCAUUUGUCGCAACCUGAGAGUUUUCUUUUUUCGUAGAUCCGUUUGUUCAAAACGUUUUAUCUAUAAAACCACGCGUCCAAAUCUUGAACCGUUUUCGUCGUUGGAUUCCUCGGGCCGAGAUCUUCAAAACUAGAUCCCAUGUUAAUAGGUUUUGACGAACUUUUUUUCACAGAAAAUAUAGUAUGAAAAAACCAAACUAGGAGCAUGAAAAAAGCCGUGCCUCUCGCGGAAGAAAAAAAACAGAAAACUUGUUUUUUCCCAAGAGGCACGGUCGCGAAAGUAAAACCGUGCCUCUCUCGGAAGAAACUAAAACAGAAAAUACGUUUUUUUUUCGUUUCCGAGAGGCAUGGAUGUGCCUCUCGCAGAAGCAAAACUGUGCCUCUCGCGAAAGCAAAAAAAUGCGUUUUUUCGCUAAAUUUUUUUCCAACAUCUAAGGAAGACCGGUGGAAAAUCAAAAGGUCGAAAAAAUGAAAAAAAGUUUAAAAAGCCGAAACGCAUGCGAAAAAAUAAAUAAAUAAUCCGGAGGGUGGCGCGCUCUCAACCCACCCGCAAGUGAUCGUUGCAAGCCUCAGCGCUCGUCAACUAGUUCCUCCCUCAACACGGUCAACCCCUAGUGUAUUCAUACAGUAAAGCAGCACUACAAAUCGAUGUCAGGUUUCUAAAUAUGGCAAAUCAAAUAUUUUUAUGGCAAAUUACUUAUCGCGGGUCUGGCAGUUCCUUUCAGCAAGCAUGGUAAAUCCUAUGUCAAGAUUUAUCAUGCUUGCUGAACGAAAUUGACAUGGUCGUGACAAAUAAUUUGCCAUAAAAAAUAUUCGACUUGCUAUGCUUACAAAUUUGACGUCAAUUUUUUUUAGCAUUUUUUAUAAAAAAAAUGUAAGUGAAUCCUUUACAAGGACAGUAGAUUGGACUUUUUUUACGCACAACGAAAUCUUCAAUUUCAUCAAGAAAGUGGCAAACUUUUUAUUACACCAGGAGACGCCAUGACGAUUAACAACAACGGUAGGAAAAAAAAACAGAACCGGUGCAAACAAAACACACAUACGUGCAGGCAGGCCAGUGGACUUGCACUUGUAAACCCCUGCAGCCACAGAAGAAGUAAAUUGCGACGAACUGGAUCAGACACAGGAACACAGAACGAGGCAUGCAUCAGCGCCGUCUCAGGUCCAAGCUCGCACUCGAUCGUCGUCGAUCAGUACCGCGCGUCGCCCGUCCGGCUCUGCUGGUAGUCGCUGUGCUCGCCGUACUGGCUGCGCUGGUAGUUGCUGCCGCCGUCGCUCGCGUCGGCGUACUGGUCGCGCUGGUAGUUGUGGAUGUCGCUGCUGCCGUCGCGCGCCUCGCCGGACCGCGGCUGCUGCUGGUUCUGCGCGGCAGCGGCGCCGGCGCCGGCGCCGUUGGACGUGGGCGGGCGCUGCAGGCUCUUGACGUACGCCCAGGCCUCCCGCUGCGAGACCUUGUCCCACCAGCGGCUGACGUUCUUGCGGCGCUGGAACAUGCGGCGGGAGCGCGGGUCGGCGGCGAGGCGGUCGGCGUUGGGCAGGUGCGACAGGUCGGCGAUGGUGAACUUGUCGCCGGCCAGGUACUCCGCCUCCUCCAGGCGCUGCUCGUAGAUGUCCAGCAGCUUCUCCAGCUCCCUCUGGCUCUUCUCGAACAUCUUCCGCAUCUCCUCCUCCUUGGCCGCCCCCGCCGCCGUCACGCGCUUCGCCGACGCGUUCACCACGGCCCUAGUGCCAUUAUUGCCGUUGCCGUUGCCGUCGCCGUCGUCGUUGUUGAGCUUCUGCGGCAUGGCGGGCGGCAGGAAGGCGAGGCUGUAGACCAUCUGGGCGCUGGGCUCGUCGAAGCUCUGCGCCUCGGUCUGCAGCCACUGCUCGAUGGACGCGCGCUCCAGCGCCCCCGUGCCGAUCAGGUCCGGGUUGCCCUGCAUGGCGUACUUGUGCGAGAUGUGCCGCAGGAUGCCCCGCGACUCUGCAUGCAGCACACAUGGGUACCAUCGUCAGAAACCAUCGUGAACCAUGCGUCUACCACCAUCGCCGACCGCCGCUUAGAGCUUAGAGGAGCUUACCGGAGAGGGUGAGGCUGCCGUCCUCGAAGGUGAGCGCCUCGCCGAGGGGCUGGAGCUUGAGGUACUGGGGCAUGCGCUUGGGGCCGCGGUAGGCGUCGACGCGGAUCAGCUGGAACUCCACGUCCUUCUCGAACAGGCACAUGAGCACGCGCGCCACCUCCGCCGACAUCGGCGACCCGAACACCUUCACGCUCGCCAUUGUUAUGCACUCGACCGGAGUGUGAAGCGAAAGCUCGGGACUAAAUUGGAACGCUGCAAAGGUAUGAGCGAUGCCUGGUUUGGAUUGCUGUGUAGUGUGCUUAUAUAGUUGCCAAAGCAAGGGAACAAAAUGCCUUGCUUGUCGAAGGGUAAAUCUAAAGCCUGGAAAAAUCAAAGGGGAAAAAGAGGUAAAGAGCAAAGGGUUUAAGGUGGGUGGGCGCCAAAGGGAAAGGGGAGGGUUAUCUAUGUCACUCACAAGAUUGUCUGGUGUUUCAGUGUGUGUGUGGCACUGCCAUGGCACGGCAGCAUGGAUGCAUGAGUGUACCCACAAGCAAAAUGAGUGUGGGCAUUGAGCAAGAUCUGGAGAUUUAUCAUAAGAGAGAAAAUGUAAAAGCAGAGAAAACAGAGGCCUGUUUUUGUUCAAAGAUAUCCCGCUUAUGUAUGAACAUUGGAGUGUCAAGUGCAGCCUUUGAUCUUUACUAUAUGUGCUAACCUCUUAACAAGCACUAAUAGAGAUAAUGGAAGUACUAUGGGCAGAUGGAAAUAGCACCGUACCACGUGCAUCUAUGAUCAGAAUCUUAUGACAUGACUGAUACAAACCCCGUUAAGCAAGCAAGGGACAAAAGAUAAGGACCAUUGCCAAUAUUCAUUCAGGGGAAAAGAAACGAAAAAGGACUGCCAAUAAAACUUGUAGCGUCUGCCUUAUACAAAUAAGGUGUUUAAAAAAAUAAACCGAAUUUUUUUUGAAGCACUGACGCCUAUUUCUAUAGGAGAGACGCCCAAUUAAGCGUCUGCCUUAUACAAAUAAGCACCGGUGCUUAAGGAAAGCCUGGUUUAUUUCUUCAAGCGCCUCUCCUAAGCACCUUGCAUUGUACAAGGCCUAACGGAUGCACUACCUAGCGGAGUGGCUAUACAUCCCCAUACAUUUGAGUUAUAUUUGUGUCUUUUUUGGGUUUGUUAUUUGACAGCAUGUGUACGUUGUGGACACUCGGUGGCACAAUUUCUUUGGUGCUUUCUCCAUAAGCCUCUGGGGCCUGAUUGAGAGGCCCCAGACAUGGUCUGGUUACUUCAAACCCGGGCCAACCAGACCGGGAGGAGGAGACAUCCCUUCUGGCUUGUGUUCGUGGUGUUAGCAUGGGCCAUGUCGACGUUGUGGACACUCGGUGGCACAAUUUCUUUGGUGCUUUCUCCGUAAGCCUCUGGGGCCUGAUUGAGAGGCCCCAGACAUGGUCUGGUUACUUCAAACCCGGGCCAACCAGACCGGGAGGAGGAGACAUCCCUUCUGGCUUGUGUUCGUGGUGUUAGCAUGGGCCAUGUCGACCACACGCAACAAGAUGAUUAUUGAGCGGGUCUUUCAUAGGUUGGCCCCUGACUCUACCUUCAAAUUCCUCGCAUUAUUGCACCACUGACACCCGUUAUCUAGACAGAGGGGUCGCGACCGGCUUGGCCGCAUGAUGGACGAGAUGACUGAUACUGCACGCUGACUUACUCAUCACAGAGUUCCUGAGCUCCCGGACACUUGAUGGUCGUCUCCCCUUUUUCUUUUGAGGGCUUUUACAGUACCCUGAAAUGAUCAAGGACCGUCCAUUUUCGUCAAUCUGAUGGUCCUUACGAUGUGGUACUCCACAACUAAUCUUACGGAGUACAAAACCAAAAGCGCGUGGAGUACCUCGACUUGAAGGGUAUUUGGGUCUUUCAUUUUUAUAUUUAAUCCUGGAUGAAAAUGAGUCAACUUGCCUCGACCUAACCUAAACGAUUCGUACCGCGCUCGUCCCUCCAGCGCCGGCCUCUCCCUCACCCACGCGACCAACGGCGCCGCGACGACCAACGGAGGCGGCGCCUCCUUCUCCACUCGGGCGCUGACCUCUCCCUCCACCACACGGCCAACAGAGAGGAGCGGGACAGGCGGAGGCGGGGUCCACGACGGCCGUCGUUGGCGAGGCGCACAUCUCCUCCUAAUCGUCCCCUCCUUCUCCGGUGGGGAGGACACAGGCCGACACCCUCGUAGCUGUACAAGCGGCCUCAGCCAGUGUUUGUCCAUGUCUAUGGCCUUCGGGGUUCUAAUCCGCGGACGUCGUCAAUUUCGUAGAUCCCCACUCAAAGAAGCUCGUUUCUGAAUCAAUCUCCCGAUGUAUAUGAACUAUCAGGUUUUCUUUUUCUUUUUUUACCAACGAAUCUAGAAGAAUGAAAAUGUCUAGAAAUUGAACGUGCCGAGAUAAUCAUUGGGCAGGGGACAUUGACAAAUGUUUUAUGCAAGGAGGACUAGCAAAAAGUCUAAAUUACCCCUGUAAAUGGACGGUUUGAUUCAACCGGUACUCCUAUCCUUCCAACGGGAGUACCAGGGUACCGUAAAAGUGCUCUUUCUUUUAUGUUUUCUGGGCAUGUUUGUGCUGAUGCCUCAGCUGACUCUAUUAUCUUCUUUGCUGCACUUGAACUUAUUGUAUAGAUGUGAUAUGGUUGCUUUAUUUAUAAAGCGAAGCAACAACCUGUUUCGAGAGUGUUGUGAACACCACCAACGUUCUCUCUCUCUCUCUCUCUCUCUCUCUCUCUCUCUCACACACACACACACACACACACACACAAUUGCAUCGCCAAACCUUUACUAACGUGAAAAUAAUCUUUAAAACAAGUUCAUUUGUGUUACAAAAAAAUCAAAUAUUUUUCUUUGGGUAGGUUUCAAUUUUUUGUUGAUGAAUGUUCCAUUAAUUCAGUGAAAUUUUCAAGAAAGUAAUAUCUUUUAUUCGUGCGUAAUUAGCAUGUUAUUAUGUCACUAAGGAUCUUACUCUAGUUAUUAUGUAUAAUUAGCAUGAAAAUCAAAGUCAAAAAACAUGAAUUUUAAAAGGAGGUAUACUUAGCAUGUUAUUAUGUCAAAUCAAAGUCAAACAACAUGAAAAUGUAUAAUUAGCAUGUUAUUAUGUUACUAAAGAUCUUACUCUUGUUUUCCGUGCGUGUGAAUUUUGAAAGGAGGUCCAUUUGGAUUGUAAAAUGCAUGUGUUUUUAGCUCUUAAACUAAGGCAAAAGAAACAAAAAAUCCAAUUUUUCUUUGCUACAUUCCUUUGAACCAAAGGCUUGAAUAAUGUCACCGUAGGAAAAAAAACUAUUCCUAUGUGUUUUCUACACUUUUCCUUUGAACCAUAGGAGGCCUUGAUCUACUAGUAUUCACAUAUAUUCCAUUGGAAGAGUUUGCGUGUAUUACUUGGUCAGUCAUCCAAAUAGCGUCCAAUUAUGGCCACUCACAAGUGUUGCAAAAUAUUUUUGGUCAUUGGUUGGACGGUAUUUCAAAUAGGGUCAGUACAUUAUUACAGGUGGAAGUGUGUGGCUUAUUAUGAUCGCUUUGGCUACUUGAUUUCUAAUAGCAUAAACUAUUCUUCUUUGCAAGUUAUUUUCAGUUGUACGGACUCGCUUUAUAUGUGGUAUACGCUACACCGAACAAAGUAACAACCGCUAUUCAAGGCGGUGUGUAUGCGAUGGGAGUGGGUGAUAAGGGAGGUUAUUACCCAACAUGGCAGACAACAUAAUCUCCGAUCGGUCUACCGCCUUCUUCGACAUAGGUCUAUGUCGGUCCUAUAUGACUCUAUUGUUGCCGAUAUGUCGGUUUUUUUGUCAGACAUUUAGUGUUUGGUUGUGAGCAUGUUAGUUAUGCAGAGGUCGGGGUUACUCAUCAUACUUUGUAUCCGCUUGAUACUAUAUUUAAAUUUAAUAAAAGAGUCCUUUAUUGAAAAAAAAAACAGGUAAAAAUGUUUCUAUAUGCGCAAUUUGAGAUUUCUUGCGCUCAUUGGGUCAAUGUCAUCAUGCAACAUCAAAAUAUGUCAUCUGCGUAUUAGAACAUGCAUAUUAAUGCCUCCAUCUACAAAGUAGGCUCCUGCAAAAUCAAGUCACAUGUAGAUGUAGGACAAACGAGCAAUAAGGCUCGAUUGGGAACAAUUUAUUUGUUGAACUGAAAGCAACUGAGCAUUACAACCCCUUGGAAGGACAAUGGUGUUGCAAUAAUGGAAGAAAUUACGAGAGACACCGCGCGCUUUAGGGCUUCACAUUAUUUUAGCCAACACGACAACGAACGAACGAACGUAGACGAGAGGGACCUUGACGACGGAGACAUCACGGUAUGAAGCCCGAUGGAAGAUUCAUGCAUGCAUGUUGCCGAUCGACGACAGACGACGAUCAAGCUCGCCGUCGCCGAUCACUCGAAGGUGCCGGGGUGCUCGUGCUGCAUCUUGACCACCUGCUGCCACGAGGGGCGGCUGGAGAUGGCGUCGUACCACCUGGCCACGUGCCUCUUGGAGGUGAAGAGCUUCCUGCCCCGCUGGGAGCCGGCGAUGUAGUGGGAGGCCGGCAGGUGGGAGAGGUCGGCGAGCGUGAACUCGUCGCCGGCGAGGUACUGGUUCUUGGCGAGGAUCUCGUCGUAGACGCCGAGCAUCUGCUGCAGCUUCCGCUCGUUCUCCGCGAUGCGGGCCUCGUCGGGGAGCAUGUUGAGCUGCGGCGCGAAGGCCAGGUGGAAGACGAGCUCCGAGCUCGGGGCGUCGAAGCUCUGGGCCUCCGCCUGGAGCCACUGCUCGAUGGACGCGCGCUCCAGCGACCCCGUGCCGUAGAUCCCGCGGUUGCCGUCCUCCGGGAACUGGGUGCACAGGUACCGGCAUAUCGCCCUUGAAUCUGCAUGCCACGAGAAGAGAAGAGAAGAACCACAUUGUGUAAUUAAAUUCCCCAAUCAAGUGGUCGGUGUGCUGUUUUGUUCAGAAUUAACUCUGCUUCUUACCAACAAGGGUCUUGUCACCAUGCUUGAAGGUCACCUGCCCGGUAGGAUCCUGCAGACCGAGACAGGCGAUCCACAACGGUGAGAGUGAGAUUAUACAUGAUCAAACCCAAAUUAGCUGAUUAAGAAAGUGCACCACGGAUUGCAAUGGCAGGGAUGAUAUAUACGCACCCUUAGCUUGAUGAACUCGGGCAGCUUGUGCUCCCUCUUGAAGGUGUCGAUGCGGACGAGCUCGAACUCGAGGUUCUUCUCGAAGAGGCAGGUGAGCACCCGGGCCACGUCAGUCGACGCCGGCUGCCCGAACACCUGCAGACCGGCCGCCAUUGCUUCAAAUUUCUUGGUGAGAGGUCUCUAGCUUCGACCGAUCUGCAGGCCGGUGAUCAGUGAGUGAGUGAGUGAAGCGACUGGCUGCUGAUGGAGACCAUAGGAUCCAUGGCCAGGCGUUUUAUAGCUAGCGAUGAGACAGCAAAUAUGCUUGCCUUGCCGCAGAGGAUUACCGGCGAAAGCGAAAGCUGCCAAAGGUAAGUAAAGAGGAGAGCCCAUACGCCCGGCCGGAUCCUUUUGGAGGUGCCAUGCAUCUUGUCUCCAGCAAGGAACAAAACAACCAUGGAUCUCCUCCAUGUUGUCUCCGGCAAGGGCGAUCGGCCAUCGAACCUUUAGCAGAUGUGGUAUGUGACCAGCACGAAAGAUAUGCUCAUCAGAUCGGAUUACUAGAUUAGAUAAAUGGCAAAGCAUUGGGGCUACAUGGUAGAUCCUUGUACGGGCACGAGUGCCUGCCAAGCAAGGGAUCAGGGCUUGCAGUUGCAAAUUGGCCGCGGAAGAUGCGUCGCCGGACAAGCCAAGGCUUUUUGGUCGAUCCAAACCAGGCAGCGUGUUCACUAAGGUGCGUGCGUUCGGUUAGAAAUUAUACAAGGACGUCGCGCUGAUUCGAUCUGCCGUGGCGCCCGCCUUUGCGUGUCAGGUGGCUCAACAGUAGAUUUAUGUCCCAACCCAAGAAUACAUACGAGUGAACAGGAGCUAAGUUUGAGCUUUCAUACUUAAUUCUUGUAAUAUUUUUUUUCGAUUUUGCUAACCUCGGGUGCUUGAAUUUUUUUUCCUCGUGUCGGACAAUUUCUGCUUUGCACGGGGCUGAAGGUGGGGGCAACGUGAGGAGCGGCAGCUACAACCGUUGAUGAGGCGCAAACUAGCGAGAUGCUAAUUCGCACGUGUAGAUGGCCCGAUCUUUCACAACGAUGCUUGAUUAACAGUCCGUCCCCCUGUUCCUCCUCGCAACCUCAAAGAAUAAUUUUCACCCACGUACAAAAAUACAUGAACAAAAAUAAUGAUCCCCUUGGAUCAGCACGUAGGCAUCGAUGUGAUGAUCAACCCUCCGUCGUUAGCAAAUUUUCACGAUGGGAAAAUCACAGAUGAUACACAAGAUAUGGUCGCCCAAAACCUGGACGUUUUACUGUGUUGUUCAUAACUCAUGAAUAAACUCAAAACUACCCUUCCCGUACAUGGCCGAAGCUUGGCUUUUAUAUCCCAUAAAAAUAACGCACGCGCUAGAAUACCUAACUAGCUAGACUCCCGUACAAGACUCCUAGGAAGCCACGCUAAUGUUUCCACCUGAUUUUAUGCCAACUAAUAUACGCACCAACAACUUGGAUAUCUAUUCAAAUAGAAAAAAAAAACUACCUAAAAUAACAAUCUCUCUCCUGAUUUGAUGGAGAUUAGGAAAGAACCUAAUCUUAUUUUCCCUGGUGGUGUACGGAAGGUAGGGAUAAUCUCCUCCAGUACCGGUUCAUGAUUCGCAUGUAACCCAUCGGGCCUUCCUGUGCGCACAAGUCCAUGUGAAUAGCUUUUCAUGCAGCAUGCUUUAUUCAAAUAUACUCCUGUAUCACUUUGAUUUAUCCUCAUGCACUUGUGACGUGUAUCAUUCGAGCAAUCACGUUUUGACGUACAACUAGCUAGGCCGGCCACACCAGGUCCACAUAGCUGACGCACACGAUCAUCCUUUCCUCGAUGAAAUAUGGCUGCAUUUUCAACAACUUGUUUAUGACUUAAUUCUUUUACUGAUUCAACUUGCAUAGCACUAUCAUCUGUUGGUACGUGUGACGAUAUCGUGUCCGUAUCAACCGUCGGCCACACCAGGACCGCGCCGGAGCCGAGGAUGACGUUGUGAGCACUGCAGCUCGUGGCCGAGUUCAACGACUGCAUUGUGACUAUAGGCCUUAGGGAGUUGGAUCGGGUGGGUCCAGAUUCACCUGGAUGAAUAAGCAGGCCGUCCCAGUUAUGAGUGUUCUGGACUAGGUCCCGAUGUCCAGGGACUAGGAAAGUAGGUUCCCUCUCGCGUCACUCCGGGCAGUGACCCGGAUUGGUUGGGACCAUGUUUCGUUAUUGAUCUCUUCCGGGAGGACUCGCCUCGAGUUAGAAGAAGUUGUUUUUCGUGAUUGUUCUCUAUAGUAUUGAUCUACAUGGAUCUAUGGACUUCCCCAUAGAUCCAUGUCGGUUCUGGAUACGGUGGCACCACUGCACGAGUAGGUACGCCCUGAAAACUGUUUGAUGUCUAUUUUUCAGGACGAGUAGACUUAUUGGCGCCUUUGAGGACGAGCAAACUGGACCUUGCAGAGAGACUUGAACAUGGCUUAUUUCCAGGCAACUGCGAAUUGCUGCACGAGGCGCGCAAUGAUUGCAGCCUUGUGGGGCUCUCGGCUCCUUUUAGAUAACGAAGACAUUCGGGCCCACAUCGAUGGAUUUUGUGAGUUAUUUACGGGCUAGCCUUGGAUUGGGGUCAGCCUCGGGCCGAGUGUUUGGGUUACGUGAUCUAAGGUGUUCGGGGCAGGAAACCUUAGCCUCAUUGCACCCUUCUUCAGGACCUGAUGGUCCGUCGGUUCGCUUCUUCCAGAAAUUCUGGAAGGACGUCAAAUGGGUGGUGAUGGCGAUCUUCCAAGAUUUCUUCUUGGGGGUAAUAGAUGCCUCUCGCCUUAACUAUGGCGUGGUGACGUUGAUUCCCAAAGUGGUGGGGGUGACGGACAUUCGUCAGUUUAGGCCUAUCACGGUUUUAAAUGUGAUUUCCUUAUCUUGGCCAAGGUGCAUGCCAUUAGGGCGGCACCAGUGGUGGCGAGGGUAACCCAUCCCAAUCAAACGACAUUUAUUCAGGGUCGGCGGAUUCACGAUGGGGUCCUAGCACUACACGAGAUCAUUCAUGAAGUUAAGAUUAGACGCCACAAGGUGGUCUUCUUCAAGAUUGAUUUCCAUAAGGCCUACGAUAUGCUUAGUUGGGAUUUCCUUCGAGAAGCCCUUCACCGCAAAGGUUUUGAUGAUAGAUGGAUUACGAGGGUGAUGCAGUUAGUUUGCUAUGGGCGCACAACGAUCAACAUAAAAGGGGGAAAGUGGAACCUUCUUUUAAGUCCUCAAGGGGGGUGAGGCAAGGCGAUCCGAUGUCCCCUUUUUUUAUUUAACUUGGCAGUGGAUGCCCUUGCAGCCAUUUUGGAUGCUGCCAGAGGCACAAGCCACCUGUGCGGGGUUGUGCCCCACUUAAUUAGUGGCAGUGUUGUCUCGCUCCUGCAAUAUACAUAUAACACCAUCAUUAUGGUGGAAGGAACCUCUGAGGACAUUAGCAACCUCAAGUUCCUUCUACUCUGCUUUCAGGAAAUGCCUGGCAUGGCUAUUAACUUUGCCAAAAACGAAGUGUUGGUGAUGGGAUACUCCGAGCUGAAGAAGUCCAGCGCAAACCGCCUAAAUUGUCAUUUGGGCUCCUUCCCGACCGCUUACUUAGGUCUCGCGGCUAAUGACGGUUGGAUUGGCAUGAAGGAGCUCCAACAUGUGGUGGAUAAGGUGGAACAUAGGGUUGACCCUUGGCAGAGCAGGUUGACUUCCAAGGCCAGCAAACCUGUGCUCAUCUUUUCGUCCUUGGCGAGCUUUCCGUUGUUUGCUAUGGGCCUAUACCUCUUUCCUUAAGCGGCCCAUGCGGAUUUUUACAAAUUCCAAUAUCGGUUCUUCUGGAAAGGGGAGGCUGGUAAACAGAAGUACCACAUGGUCAAGUAGAGAGACAUUUGUAUGCCGAAGGACCAGGGGUCUAGGCAUUACUUCCACCAGGCGGAUGAAUAUUUUCCUUAUGACUAAAUGGAUAUGGCACGUUGUGCAGGAUGAUGGGGGUCUGUGGCUGGACUUGAUUAAGGUGAAAUACUUUCGUGGCUAGUCCUUCACCAUGUGUGCUCAGUCCAAGGAGUCUCAAUUUUGGCAAACAAUUCAAGCUCUUAAGCCGUGCUUUCGGUUAGGAGCCUCGGUGUCAGUUGGGAGGGGUACUGACACCCUUUUUGGCUUGAUUGUUGGGUUGGAACACGGCCUCUACAGGAACAAUUCCCAUCACAGUUCGCUAUCUCAAACCAACCUUCAAUCUCGGAGGCCUCAGCGGUCCAAGAGGAGGCCAGUUCGUUGUCAUUCCGAAGAUCCUUUGGUUCCAGUGAGUCCGCAUAGUGGCUACUGUUCGCAGAUGUCAUUGUGGCCACUAGCCUUCCGGACCGGCGCAAUGUCACGUCUUGGAGCCUUGACCCCUCUGCUCCUUUUUCUUCGAAGUCCCUACAUGAUCGAUUGGCGGCGAGUCGGGGACCAGAAGAGUUAUCAAAUAUUUGGAAGACGAAACUCCCGCCAAAAAUAAAGAUCUUGUGGCAGCUUGUUAGGGGCCAGCUACCUUCGGCGGACCAAGUUCAUAAACAUAAUGGACCGGGGAGUGAGAUUUUCCCUCUUUGCGAUGUAGAGGAUCUCAAUCAUAUAUUCUUCUAUUGUAUCUCCCCCCAAUUUUUGUGGGGUUGCUUCCGGGAGGUGUGGGACAAUAGGUGGUGUCUGACCAACUUCUCCGAGUUCUACCUGCUCUUGGUUGGGUGCUCGGGCAGGUUUGCAGAUUGACAUGGGUCAAUUUUGGGACCUUGGCGUGGUCAUUAUGGUGUAUUAGAAAUAAGCUAGUUAUCGAGCACAUAUACCCUAACAGGACCACUGACGCUAUCUAUAAAAUGUGUAGUUUCUUGCAGCUGUGGAAACAACUUUGCAAGUGGCGGGAUAGAUCGGCAGUGGACCAGCUGAUGAAGAGAUAUAAGGAGUUGGCGAGCCGUCUCUUGAUGAUCACUUACCCUCCUUGAGGAUGUAUCUAUUUAUUUAUGUCUGGGCUUGUUGUGCUAUGCAUGCAGCAUAGACCUCUCUCUUUUCUCUUGUUUGCCUUUGUAUAUCUCCUCGUGGACCUCCGUAUGUGUGGUUGGGUUGUAUCGUGGUUUGAGCUUUUAUCUAUAAAGCAGGGUGUGAAGCCUUUUUCGGUACAAGCUGCAGCGUCCCAGGUGGAGGCAAAAACUUCACCCAGGGGGUCGCGGGGGGUCAUUGGGGUUCCUGCGCCGGUGGAGGGAUGACCGGGGCAGUGGCCAGCGACGGCGGUGGAGCGAGGUUGAGGGAGGGGCGGGGCAGUGAAGCGGUAUGCAGUAUCGCCCGCCGGCCGCGGGUGGUGGAGCCGCGCUUGGUACGCGGUGCAGUUGUUCACACAUCUCUCAGUAUAAACAUUAAAGUUGUAAAACUAGCGGAAUGUUUUGUGCAAAUGCAAAGACAUCAGGUACAGAGAUAAUUUAAAGAGGUCUUUAAUUUAAACUACAGUUCAUUAAUUGCAAGACUCUCCCUGAAAUACGCGGUUCCUGGCCGGUGGGCCUGGCCUGCGCGAAGGGGGGGGGGCGACGCGCGGUAAUAUGCAACCGGGAUGCAAGUUGAUAGAAAACCUAAAUACAACAACGUUUGCAAACUAGAACUAACUGAAAAUGAAAGUAGUGCAAAUACACCUAAUAAAAGAUCAACUUCCUUCUGUAAACAAAACUGUACAUGUGAAAAACAAACAGAUAAUUUUAUUCAGUAGAUAACACAUCACAAUGUACAUAACACAUCACGGCGCAAUGUUCAGGGCAAAAGCAUUUUAAACAGCGCAAUGUACAUAACACAUCACGGCUCAUAUUAUUCUGGUUCACAAGAAAACGUGGAUGAGGAUUCGGUAAACGACGACAGCACAAGUAGCAAUGAUGACCAAAGAACACAUGAAAGUAAGAUCGAUAAACGUAGAGAGCUCUUCAAGAUGAACUCAAAAUACUUGCUUGCCACCACCAAGGCGUUACUCAAAGGCACCAGGAUGCUCCAUCUGCAUCUUGACAACCUGCUCCCACGCCUUGCGGCUCGAGAUUUGGUCAAACCACCUCGCCACAUUCUUCCUGGAGGUGAAGAGCUUCAUCCCCCUCUCCGAGCUCACAAGGUACUGCGAGUCCGGAAGAUGAGAGAGGUCAGCCAGGGUGAACUCGUCGCCAGCCAGGUACUCAUUCUUCGAGAGUAUUUCGUCGUAAACAUUGAGGACUUGCUGAAGCUUCCUCUCAUUCUCUGCAAUGACCAUGUGGUCCUGAGGGAUUUCCAGAAGAGGAGCAAAUGCCAGCUGAAACACGAGGGCCGAGCUGGGAGGGUUGAAGCUCUGAGCCUCUGCUUGCAGCCACUGUUCUAUUGAUGCCCGUUCCAGAGAGCCAGUCCCAUAGAGGUUCCUGUUUCCCUGGUUUGGGAACUGGGUACAGAGGUACCGGCAAAUAGCCCUUGGGUCUGCACAGAAGGUUCACGUUGCAUUUCAGCCCUUUAAACAAUGUGAAUCCAGAAAUGUAAUGUGAUGACUGUUAAUGUUCUCCUUACCGACAAGAGUCUUGUCACCAUGCUUGAAUGUCACUUGUCCACUUGGAUCCUGCAAAAGGAUGAAUGGAAAAAUUAGUACAUGCUUUAACUAAUUCAAGAUUUUUUGAAACUGAAUAAAAAGUGAUCGAAGCCUCCUACGCGCAGCCUGAUGAACUCAGGAAGCUUGUGCUGCCUCUUGAAUGUGUCGAUGCGGACGAGAUCAAACUCCAAAUUCUUCUCAAAGAGGCAUGUCAGAACCCUGGCAACAUCGGUGGAUGCUGGCUGGCCAAACACUUGCAAGCCUGAAGCCAUCCUUUCUCUUUGGCUUGAUUGAUCUCUUUGUCAGGCUAUGCAAUGGCAAUGAGCAAUGGUGACAGCAUGUUUCAAUGCAAGGUAUUUGAAGAAAGAAAAGGUGGAAUUCCAUACUUGCCUUGCUCUUGCUACCUAGCACAAUAUUUUACAAUUGGAAAGGGAAAGUGUAAAGAGAAAGUGUGGUUCUGGAUUCUUGCUUGCAGCAAUCAUAGUGUCUGUUGUAGCAAACAAGCCCUGCAAAAUAUAUAGCAUCGUUUAUGUACAAUCCAGUCUUUGAUUACUUGACUGAGAAAAAGCAAUAUAUGAGGAGCUCGUGAUGUUGUAUGGAUGGUUUGGGAUAAUUGAUGGAGAGAAUUUGGCUUGGAUAAGUGAGAAGACUGGCAUCAAGUACCAGCAGUAACGAAGAUCUGAUGAUUUCUGUCAGAGUACAAGAAUAAUUAUUUCGAUAAAAGAAACGUCCACCGUAUGGAGUCACUAGUCAGGUAUAUGUUUAUAAUCCAGUCUUUGAUAACUUGACUGAGAGAAAAAAAACAGUAUGUGAGGAGCUCAUGAUGUUGCAUGGAUGGUUUUGGACAAUUGAUAGAUAGAAUUUGGCUAGGAUAAGUAAGAAGAUUGGCAUCAAGUACCAGCUGUGAUGAAUCUGAUGGCUUCUGUCAGGGUACAAGAAUAAAAAUUUCGACAUAAAGUAAUGUCUCCCAUAUGGAGUCAGGUAUAAUUCAACCGUUGGUCUGAUGGAAGGAAAAACAUACUGGGAUUGCAUCCCCAAUAUGUUCUAUAUGGUAGAAGAACAGAACUGAUUUAUCAGGAGUAGUGCCUGUAAAAUGGCAAGCUGAAUUCAGUUGCUUAAGUUUUACAUAUUACUCCCUCUGUCCCAUAAUAUUUGACACUACACUAGUGUAAAAAACGUUCUUAUAUUAUGGGACGGAGGGAGUAGAAUACUAUGAAGAGGCAAAAUAAGAAACUGCCAGAAUGCAUUAACCCAGGUGAUAAUCAGCACGUCAUCCUGAGCGUUUAGCUUGCACAUCAGCCAGUAAUACUAUCAGGCAUGGAUAAGUAGAAGGUUGGCAUCAAGUACCAGAAGUAACGAAGAUCUGAUGACUUCUGUCAGAGUGCAAGAAUAUAUUUUUCGACAAAAGCAACAUCCCCCAUAUGGAGGCAGGUAUAUUUGAACCGUUCAGCUGAUGGAAGGAAAAUAAAAGGGAAUCUUUGAAUGUGCUUAGCUUUCAAUCCCAGUAUGUUUCAUUUGGUAGAACAUAACUGAUUUAUCAGGAGUAGUGCCUGUAAAAUGACAAGAUGAAUUCAUUUGCUUAAGUUUUACAUAUUAUAUUACUUAUAAUAGUGUGAAGAGGCAAAAUAAGAAGCUGCCAAAAUGCAUUAACCCAAGUGAUAAAUCAGCAUCUCAUUUUGAGCAACUGAAAUAAGCAUUAUUUAGCUUGCACUUCAGCCAGUAAUACUAUCAGCUUAACAGACCGCAAAAUUCUUUGAACAGUUGUGCUGCCUUAAAUUUGCCAGAACUCUGUUUUUUAUCAAUAUUUCUCAUAGUCCACAAUGGAUUCAUCCAAGUAUGUCGAGAGGGCCAAAUACUACAAAUGACAACUCACAAUGCUGUUAUCUUCAAAUCAUAUACCUCAAUCCCACUGCUGCCAGUGAGACAAUAUAUGGAUCAACAAUGGAAUCAAGAUGUGUUACUCUUGCAUUAUACUCCUAGCUUAAGGCCUGGCUCAACAAUUUGAUGUUGUAUACUAGCACAUUUUUCUAUAGACUUGAUCAAACUUAAAUAAGUUUGACUUAGGACAAAGCUAGAACUUCAAAUAAUUUGGAAUGCAGAGAGUAAAAUUCAAUAAGUAAAGAGAUUUCAAGAAUGGACCACUGAAAGUAACAGGGUAGUAAACCGACAUCUCAUGGACAGAUUUAUGUGGAUUAUGGGAUGCAAUCGAGUUCCUACAGGCAACAGCACAGAAUUGAGAAACCAGAGGAACAUAUCCAACCAUGCAAACUCAAUAAUACCACAGAGAUAGAUAGCAGGAUAACAUAUUGUACAAAGCAGCCCGAGUCUUUCACAACACAAUAACAUUUAGGAGUGAUGGCAACACAUAACAGAAUGUGACUAAUUGCCACCAGAAGCUGCUCGGCUAAAAAAACUGAAGGGGCCCUCAAGCUUUAGAGGGCCGUGGUACACUCUGCAACUCGACAACCUUCUUCCAUGACGGACGAGCCGAGACCUCAUCCCACCAUCUGGACAGAUUCUUUCUCUCGGUGAUCAGACCCGCCUUGCCGGCCUUGCUCACGAGGAGAUCAGUGUUGGGCAUGUGCACAAGGUCGGCAAGGGUGAACUCGUCGCCGGCGAAAUACUGGCUCUCCGCCAGCCGCCGCUCAUACACGUCGAGCACCUUGGCGAGCUUCGCCUCAUUCUGCUCCACCACGGCCAUGUCGGUGGCCAUGCCCAUGAGAGGCGCGAAGGUGAGCUGGAAUGCGAUGGCCAAGCUCGGCGGGUUAAAUGCUUGGCCUUCGGACUCUACCCAUUGCUCGAUGGCAGCGCGGCCUACCGCGCCGUCUUCUUUCCGGCCUAGGAGAGUCUGGUUGCCACGGUCGGAGUACUGGUCACAGAUGUAACGGCAAAUGGCCCUUGACUCUGCCAAAAGAUGAACCAUACAGCAUGUGAACACAAACGACCAUUUACAGAUAUCUUUCUUUUCUUUCGCAUUCACAGACCAGUCAAUCAAUCAUCCAUUAACCUCCUUUCCGAAGAAAAGAAAUCAAUCAUCCACACAUAUGAACAUGCCAACACUGGAAUUUACCCUAAAUUCAGAAACUGGAUAAUAAUUACUGAUAAAAUGGAUACAGAUCUGAGUACAAUUUCCAUCUUUAUCAACGAAAGGCACUUGCAAUUGAUAGGGAAGCAAAGAAAGAUGUGAAGAAACUAGCUGAAGAAAUAGUUGAAGAGGUGGGGGAGGGAGUGGGUACCGACCGAAGACGGUGGUGAGGUGGUCUUUGAAGGCGGGGACCUGGCCGAAGGGCUGGAGCUUGAGGAAGGAGGGGGACUUGUGCUCGCCCUUGGACAUGUCCACCGCCUCGAGCUGGAACGGCACGUCCUUCUCCAGCAGGCACGCCGCCACGCGCGCCACCGCCGGCGAGAUCGCCGGCCCGUACACCGUCACGGGCGCCGCCAUCGCCGCUUCUCCAGAGACCUAGACGGGCGGACGGACGGGGGAUAGGUGGGUAGGAGAUAGCUAGUGUCAGAUGCUACCGCACAGCAAGAGCAUGACUCUGCCUGCGGCCAGCGGCCCGUAAAGGCAUCUCCAAAGCCACCCGCCACAUACACAAAUACAAAGGCCACCAUCUAAUGCUACCUGCAUUCAUUUAAAAAAAAUUAACCAACCAAACGAAAUUUGUGCAAACACGGUGAAUUUCAAAUGAACCGGACGACAUUCAUGCAAAUGAUGAAUUCUCAUUAGAUUUUGAACAUUUAGAAAAAAAAUAAAAAAUUGUAUCUACCCGACCCUAAACCUAUCCUACGGUGGUGUCCGUCGUCCAAGCCCUUGUCGUCCUCUAUCCGUCGUCUCCAUAAGCACCGGCGCUAAGACCGAUGAAUUGAAGUUGUGUUCUCCUGCGAGGAAGAGUAGAACAGACGGACCGACCCACAUGGACGCAAGGCCCUGCCGCCUCCGAUGCCAUAUUCAUCAUCAGAGGAGUCUGCGUCUUGUCCGUCGCCAGUGGACAUGAGGUCCACGAUGGAAAUGAUGGCGCUCGCGCUGUCAUCGUCUCACUGGGCGGCCGGAUAGUUCGUCGGCAGCGCGUAGGAGGCGUAGUUGGCGUUGUUCUCCUCCGCGGCGGUCGCUUCCUAGCGAGCGGCGGCUUAAGCGCAGAUGGCAUCGUAGAUGGCACGCUGCUCCGCGACAAAGUUGGGGUUCGUGGCGGACAUGGCCGCCAAGGCCUCCGUCAAUCGGUGCUGCUCCAGGAGGAAUAUGUUGUACCGUUGUUCCUACUGCGUCUGCUAGAACGCCAACGUAGGUGCUGACGCGGGCUCUCACCUCCGUCAUGGCGGUGUUAUGGUGCGCCUGCGCCUGCUCCAUCGCGAAGCCGGUGUGCACGGGCGCGGGCGCCGGUGUCUUCGGAGCCCAUCUCCAUGGUGGGGCCGUCCUCGUCGUCGGAGACCUCGGGCGAGCUGGUCGGCAAGCCGGCCUCGAUCCGCCUGGCACGGCGGCUCUGCUAGGCGACCGCAAGGGCGGCCACCUCUUGCUUCAUCUCCCUGGAAAGGCUCUACCACAGAGCUUCACCGCCUGCAGUCAUGACGGAUGUUGUGCAAGGAAGGAGGAUGCGGAGCGGCUUGUGUUGUGACGUGGGGUUAGCCAGGUGUGGUCGCUUUUAAAUAGUGGAUUCCGGUGAGGCCAGGUGUCCGGAUUCGUCAAUGUGCGGCGCCGGAGUGGGUUUCUCGGACGGCGAGCCCGCUUAAUGGCGGCAUACAGACGGAUGGGGCAUUGAACGGGCGUUGUAGAUAUAUGUCCCGUCCUGUCCAGUAACCCGUCUCCGAAGAGGCACGAACACUGGGGACGCGUCGCGGGCGACGCCCUAGGGCGGCGUGCCGCUUCAAUGGCGGACCUAGCGAGAGGUCGCGUCCGCUCUGGGCUGGCUUCAAUGUGGAGUGGCGUGCUCUACAGCGGCAUAAAUGCGGGCAGGUGGCGUCGGGCGGAACCGCACGCGAGCGAUUGAGGAGGGGGUUUGGAUGGGCCAGGGCGGUCGGAAGCAGGCAUGGGUGUUAUCCGGACGCCCGCAAAACCCCCAUAUUUGUCUCUUGUUCAGUACGUCGGAACCGUCCCGCGGACCUAUACCGAGACAGGUCCGCGUUGGAUGGCACAACAUGUCCGACUCGUACGGUCGGGACGGAUACAUGCGGCUUGAGAGUUGCCGUUGGAGAUGACUUAAUGUUUUUUGCAUUUCUAUGUCCUAACAUCUGACAGAUGGGGCAAGGUUGGAUUUUCCCUAUGGUAGCUUUUUUUUGGGAAUCCCUAUGGCAAAUUUGUUUCAAAAUUUAGAAAUUUGGUUUGCAAUUCUUUAUUGGGCUCGUUUGAUUCAAGGAAAUCUUAUACUCCCUCUGAUCCGACAUUGUAUAGAGGCUGAGUCAAGAUGUUAUUAUAACCAAUGUACUACCUCUGUUUAUUAAUGUAAGACAUUUUAUCAGUUUAAAUAGAAGUAGAAUCUUGUAUUAUAGGACGAGGGAGUAAUACUUUGGAGAAAUUUGAUUUUUAGGAAUUAUUUUUGUGUACAUUGUUUGAUUCGUAGGAAUCCAUAUCAUUCUUUCUAGGGCUACUUUGCACCCUAUUUUGGUAAAUAAAAAAAUCCAUCCGCUAAACCUCAUAGUACAUUUUUUUCCUAUAGUGUUUAAUACUCUCUUAUCCGACUUAUUGUAGUUUUUUAAUUCUAUAUAAUUAUAUGUUUUUCUUUUUCAUGUACUUUGAAACUCCUGCGAAUCAACCGCUUAAUUCGCUCAUGAAAACCGUUCCAGCGGGGCAUCUUCUUGCCUUCUCUCAACGCCCGCGACAUUGCGAGUCUCUGUCUUCUUCGUCCGCCUCUCUUGCGGCAGGAGCAACGGGGACCUCUACAGUUUCUCUCCAGUAAGAAGAUAGGAUAAGUGUUGUUUGCUUUCCGAGGUGCCCAGGUGGUGCGGUCUUCGGAUCUAGCGAGAUUUGUGUCCGGUGGUCGAUGCACGACAUUCCCGGUUUGCGUUGGUGUCGAUUGUUGCAGUAGUGUUUGGUGUUCUGUACCAGGGUACGUGGAUGACGAUAUGUCGUGGUGCUUCUCUUCUUCGACCACGUUGGAUGAAGUUGACGGCGCCAGAAUCUAAUGAACAUGGGGAAGAACCCCGACCGACAUGCCACAAAGUUUUGGUAUCGUCGCUUGCGGAGGUCCGUUUCAUCGGCUCAAAAGCAUCCUUAUAGGCGAAUGUGCUCCUCCAUGUAUGAGUAAGACCGUAGUUUCCCUCUUUCGUCGACGUUGCCUGAUGACGGUGGACCAUGUCUCCACAUGGCACAAGGUACUUCCAAAGUGGAAUUCUAGUUUUCAGCGGGAAUUCUAGUUUUACUUCUCGUGGGAUCUUUGAUGCAAUAUUACAAGACAUCUAUGUUUUUUUAUGUGAUCAUGUGCAUACUGUUUGUAAUCCGUUUGUCAAUGGGUAGUCACAUGCCUGGCUGCCCACCCUGCAACUGCCCAUCCUUGCUUUGACACCAAAUUUGCAUAGCUCAGCUGCUUUGUUCGCGAUCAGAUCUUGGUUCAGCCGUUUGACCGGCACACGGUACAGUGCUAGAACGGCGGCAAGCACGGAGCCAUUUUCUCUCUCGUUUAUUUUCUACGGCGGGGAGCACAGGGUUAUCGGGAGCAUCUCCUCCGCGCACUCCCCGCCGUGUCCCAUUCCCCGAUGCUUCGCCGUCGCCCAUAUUCAUCUUCCAAAUGAAGCUCACUCCUCCACUGCCAUAGCCGCCCGCCGCGCCAUCCCUGAUUCCUUGCCGUAUCGUUUCGCCCGUCAGAUGGACCCUGAGUCCGAGGUCACGUUCGAGUUCGUGCCGGUGAUCCGGCAGUACAGGAGCGGCCGCGUCGAGCGCCUGCUCCCCGUGGACCACGUCCCUCCCUCCGUCGACGCCGCCACGGGAGUCGCCUCCAGGGACGUCGUCGUCAACCCGGCCACCGGCACGUGGGCCCGCCUCUACCUCCCCGCCCCGGCGUCCCCCGUCGGCGACGAGAGCGGCAGGCUCCCCAUCAUGGUGUACCUCCACGGCGGCGGUCUCGUCGCCGGCUCGGCGGCGGACGCGCCCGAGCACGCGUUCCUCAACCGCCUGUGCGCCCGCGCGCGCGUCCUGGGCGUGUCCGUCGAGUACCGCCUCGCGCCGGAGCACCCCGUCCCGGCCUGCUACGACGACGCGUGGGCCGCGCUCCGGUGGGCCGCCGAGGGCGCCGACCCGUGGCUCCGGGACCGCGGCGACCGCGGCCGGAUGUUCGUGGUCGGGUACAGCGCCGGCGGCAACGUCGCCCACAACGUGGCGCUCCGCGCCGGCUCGGAGGCCGACGCGCUCCCCCGCGGCGCCCGGGUCAGGGGCCUCGGGCUCCUGCACCCGUACUUCCUCUCGGCCGAGAAGGCGGACGGCGAGCACUCGUGGCUGAGGGGCAAGCUGGAGGAGCUGUGGCCGUUCGCGUGCGGCGGGCGCACCGCCGGGCUGGACGACCCGCGGGUCAACCCGGUGGCCGACGGGGCGCCGAGCCUGCGGCGGCUCGGCUGCGACCGCGUCCUCGUCUGCCUCGCCGACGACGAGCUGCGGCUCCGAGGCAAGGCGUACCACGACGGGCUGCUGGGGAGCGGGUGGGCGGAGGGCGACGCCGAGCUGCUCGACUCCGUCGGCGAGGACCACCAGUUCUUCCUCCGGGAGCCCCCGACCGCGACGGCGCUGCUUCUCAUGGACCGGCUGGCCGCGCUCCUCGGCGCCGGCGAGAACCAGCAGUAGACCAGACGUCAGGUGCUGGCACUAGUGCGUUUGGUGUUGUACUAGUACUCUGUUCUACUCUGCGUGUAUCUGGAAUUUUAUGCGUAUGAUGCGUGGAAUAAAACACUCUCAUAACAUAAGUCAUAACUGUGAAUCAUUUUACCGAAGCAACCGCAACUCCUCCACAACGGUUUUCGGCUGUCUCUCCCUCCCAGGCGAUAUAGAGGCGAGCGGCUCCUGUUCCUAUGCUGCUGAAGCCACUGGCUCCCCUUCCCUCCGCUCGUCGCUCCGGCGACGGCGGUAGGGCGGGGGAGCCAGUUCCUUCUCUCUAAUGUCUAGGUAUAGGAUUGGUCUUGUCCGGUGUCGGUGCUCGGUUGAUGACGAUGUCGUCGUCGCGAAUGAAAGUUUGUAGUCUGGGCCACCGCCUCGAUGGCGUUCUACCACGACAUCGAGGAGCCGUGGGUUUGUACCCAGGAAACGUCUCCAAGAUGCCGGUGGAGGUCUUGCUGCGGAUCCUCUUUCUUUAGCUUUGUCCACGUCACGUCGGCUGUUCCUCCAGCGCCAUGCGGAGCCGGAAGUGUUCGUGUUGGAGGUGGCUAGCGCUGAGGCGCUGGUCUCGUCGGAGAGAUGGUGCAACAAGGGUUUUUUCGGCGGCAGAAGAUGGUUGGCGGUUCCGGAGCCUCUCGGCCACGUUCCUGCUCGAGAAUUUCAGAGUCGCGGUCCAAGUGAGUUGGAGAUUUGCUCGGGCCGACAGCCCACAGAGACAAGUGUGGUGAGUGGUGACGGUCGUGGUGGGCUUACAACGCAGCUGCCAUGGCUUUCUCUUGGAUCUUGGCUAAGUGGAGGCCACUUCUUCUCCUUUCAGGCGGAUGCUCGGGUGAGGGCGGUGGUCGAAGUUUUUGGUCAUUUUGUUGGUGGCUACAAGGAUGAAGAGGAAUUUCAUGCAAAUCUCAUUUGUUGGGAGCGCUUCCAAUAUUUUUUUUUCUUGGUGUGCUAUUUCUUUGGAUAACUGUAGAGAAAUGUCAUAUUUGCUGGAAUUUAUCGAUGUUACUAAUAUAAAUGUGGUACUUCUAAAAAAAACUGUGAAUAAUUUUGAUCUUGUUAACUAAAUAUAUCCACAUACCUUCUCAACAGGAGAAGUCCGCACACUCGCAUAACUUAAACCGUAUGAUGUUUCUAUUGCCAAUUUUUUUGCAACAAUGUCCGGAUGCUUCAUUCAGUUAAGAGCUUUCAACAACAAUGCAUAAGGACGACGAUAACUGCCACACGUGUGGCAUUUAAGGGGUUGUGCCGCACGCCCUGUGUGGCACGGAGACAACCCCGCCCACACGAGGCGUCCGGGCGCACCCCGCCAGCCCGCACGUUCGGUGUGCGGCACGAUCGCCCGCAUAAGCACGUCCGGGCGAGCGACCACGCGGCCCGCACGACCCGUCUCGGCCGUCGCCCCUCCCCGCCUGUGAGCCACACGCCCCGCGUGGCAGUAACCACGCGUCCCGCCGCGAUUGCCAUGGUCCGAACCCUCUUCAGUUGCCAUGUUGCCAUGUUGCUGAACUGCAGUUGCCAUGUUGCUGAACUACAGUUGCCAUGUCUGACAACUACAGUUGCCAUGGUGGCUGAACUGCAGUUGCCAUCUUAGGUCAAGUGCCGGAUGCCAUUUUUGGGCAACUGCAGCUGUUGCCAUGUAUGGUCUGGUCUACUACAGUUGCCAUGUUUUGAAAACUUUAGGAGUUGCCACCUACUAACAUUGGACAGUUGCCAUGUAGCACUACAAAAACAUGGCAAAAACAUGUUUCGGGUAAAAGAGAGAGUUGUCAUCUGCUUACAAGCACACUAGGGCAGUUGCCAUGUACCCUGCAAAAACACAUGGCAACUGAUAGCUUUUGGUGUGUGGGAGAGGAGACGGGCACGUGGGCGACGGUGGUACCUUUAGGAGUUGCCACCUACUAACACUAGACAGUUGCCAUGUAGCGCUACAAAUAGAUGUGGCAAUAAAUAACACGUUCGGGUGAAAGAGAGUUGCCAUCUGCUUACAAUCACAAAUAGGGCAGUUUCCAUGUACCCUUCAAAAACAUGGCAAAUGACAGCUUGGGUGUGGGAGAGUCGGAGAAUGGGUAAUCGUGGGAGAUGGGGAAACAGAAGUGGUGCGCGGCGUGCGGGCGCGACGGCAGUUCCACCGCACGCCCCGACUAGCAACCGUUGACCGCGGAGAGAAAACCGGCGUGCAGGCGAACUCCCUCACACGACACACACGAGUUGUCCUACGUGGCACACAAAAUCAGCCUUUUCAUUCCAAAAAUCAUGCAGAAGGCGCUGGACAGCGAUCGAGGCGUGUGGGCGAGUUGGCUAACGCCCACACGUGUGGGCGUUGGUGUUUCCGAUGCAUAAACAUCACACGUCAGCCACACAACAAUAGCAUCACACGUUUUGUGCCUAUUUAGGAGUAAUAAUGUUCCUUUUUUCGUGGAUGAUUAGGCAAGUUAGACGCCUGAACUGUCUUUUGCCACAACCACUCAGAACACAGGUUACGUGAGAGAUGAGGGAACUCGCCAUUUUGCCGAAAUGAUCUGCACCGAAUGUACAUUAUACAAUACUGCAAUCAGCUUAUGAUGAUGGAUUUGUUUCACUUAUCCAUAAUGAUGUUGUUCCUUUGGAGGGGGAGAUCGGCUUACAGAGCAUAUAUAUAACACAUCUACCUGAUAAAUUUAGAAGCCUAUUUACGCAGGCACGGCCAAGAAAAUUCAGUACAAACCUUACAAAAACGGCAGGACAAAAGGCAUGUGUAGAGAAAUAUGAAAAAAAGCAGCAACAUGUGAGGAAGCAAAUGUUUCCAUAAAUAACAUCCAGAAUCUGAAUACUACAGCAUAUAUAGCACAAUGUAACAACAAACAGGAUGCCAUAUGCACACGGAACGGGCACAUGAGGAAAGAUAACGGCAAGAAAAUAUAGCUUAUCCGGUAAUACAACAAGAGACCAACACACGACUGAUGAGAGCUGUUUCGAUCAUUCUGGGGCAAGCAAACAUGGCACACGGCAGCAUAGGGCCAAGUUGCUG
Molecule: long non-coding RNA, 33562 nt
Filed under: Triticum aestivum (bread wheat)
Lineage: Eukaryota; Viridiplantae; Streptophyta; Magnoliopsida; Poales; Poaceae
Description: long non-coding RNA (TAES_LNC004869)
Rfam family: MIR9783 microRNA precursor family (bases 12061-12155)
Source: RNAcentral